CGUUGCAGAUUUUGGCAGUUUAUAAUACACCAUUUGUAAAAAAGAAAAAAAAUAUUUUCAACGCAUCUAUCCUUUCGGCUUUGAAAUAAAGAAUUACAGAUACAAUUAAGUAUGCCUCAUAUCUUUGAAAUUGACAAUGACGGUCGUUUGACAGCGAACUAUUUCGACAAAUGUGACAAAGAAAGAUAAUUCUUGCUUUCCUCAAUCAUGGUCUUUUGGCUUUCAAAGUUUUCUGUCUCCUGUGUCCAUAUUUCACCCUUCAUAUAUCUUAUUUCCUUAUUUUGACCUUUUUCUUUUAUUUUUAAGUAUGUUGUGUUGCUGCGCACGAACAUUCACAAAAAAAUCUAAAUAAUGAAAAGAAAAAUGAAAUGUCAAAAAUAAUCACGAAGAGACAGAUUAUUCGGUCUACCUCUUAUGAUAAAAUGGAUAAGUGAAUGGUAUUUGGUAUGCAUUUUAUAAGGCUUAUGAUUCCCAUUUCCGUGAAUGAUCAUCCAUUUUCAGUCAUGGUAUAUUGACUUUAAAUGUUUUGCAUAAUUAACAUGUUUAAAUAUUGUGAUUUGAAUUCCAAUAUGCAUGACACUACCAAAAUUACAAAAAGG
This 599-nucleotide long non-coding RNA is filed under the name Mytilus galloprovincialis (Mediterranean mussel). The record is from RNAcentral. Lineage: Eukaryota; Metazoa; Mollusca; Bivalvia; Mytilida; Mytilidae.